GAAAGCUGGGAGCGCACAUGUUAUACCACCGGCAGAAGCGGAGCGAGGAAAACUGAAGUCGUGGAGACUUUUACGUCUCUAAGCUUUCCUCCAGCGAUGUACUUCCUCCUGCAAGACCAGACCCCCUACACCUCCAGCAGUCGGGCCACUAACUGGGAACCAGGUGUUUAAAUAACCGGGGCUGUGGGAGACAUUUCUCGUUCAAAUUUCCUCAGUAAUACGGUAUUCAAGUGGGAGAUAAAGAGAUGGAAGAGGAAGCGUCUUAAUAUGAACUUGUCACAGUCCUUGACUACUUACUUCUAGACAUAAUCUCCACCGACUCUUUCUGUCUCUGAGCUUUCGCCUACGUUUCUCCGUAUUCAAACCAGCCAGACAUCUCUAGGUACCUAACAUCAGUGAUUUGUCACACAGACCCCCCAAUCAACCUAAGACCACCGCGCAUAGAAAAUCAAAACGAAGCCGGGCGGUGAUGGCGUACGCCUUUAAUCCCAGCACUCGGGAGGCAGAGGCAGGCGGAUCUCUCCUUCCAGGUGUUAAGAUUACGAGCACUCUGGGCCUAAAAUGUGUUGUCAAGAAAAAUACAAUUUUGGAGGAUAUUUGAAGAUAGAAGUUACCUGCGAUUGCAUUCAGAAUCAAUGUUUGCUACUCUAAAAUAAAAGGAAGUUCACGUAACAUUUCCCACAGUGCCAGAAAUCCUGAACAAUGAGAAUGACCCAGACACACUCGGAUUAUUAUUUACGAGGAAGAAGGGCAUCCCUCUAACUUUUCUUGCUCAGGCCUCUGAUGUAUUUCCUCUUUAGCAUCUAUGUUUAAGCUAACGCUGGCGGUGGGGCGUGAAGUGUCUUAUCCACCUCCCUCUUGGGACCUCUCCAUCUUCAAGGUGAGGUCUGAGGUGAUAUUAAAACAAGACUGCCUGCUGAAGCAUUGAAGCCAGGCUAAAUUCCUGUGAGAUUCCAGGACCUUAUCUCUGCCCUAAAUGCCGCCCCUGCCCCCAUCCGUCUUUAUCUCAGACGCUUUACAGAGCCUUGGUACUCAGGGUCUAUUGCCUUUCGCCUGCAUCUCAGGACCAGCAAAUCUGCAUUAGCUCUCAAGGCCUGCAGUUCAGGCCAGCAGUUCGGACUAGGGAAGGAAUAUUCACGACACGGAGGAAGCUUUGUGACUUGUAAUGAGGGCAGACAUGCCGCUCUGACUCCAAGGAAAACCUGCCCCAAAUACUGACACAGGCCUCUUUAAAUGUUUGCAAUCGGUCUCAGCUUGCAGUUUUGUUUGAUAAUAGAAAACAAAGCAACAAAACCAGUUAAUUUUUAAAAUGAUGCAUUGAGAGACGGACCUGAAAGCACCUAAAAACAUCAAGUUAGUUUCCACCCACUCUACCAGAGGCUGGGUGGCGGAAAGCCGCAGAACUGGAGUGUUACCGGGAGCCUUUGGGGAUGGUGGGAGGAACGCGCUUCACAGCUGACUGCCUUAACAAACAAAGCCGUGUGCUGCUGAACGGAAUUAGUAUUCCUUCGUCCUUGAGGGCGCGGUUUGGCUUCUUGCUUUUUACAGGUACUAUGGAUGCUACAGCCACUGUCCGAGUUCCGCAGGAGAUUGCACCUUAAAUCAAAUGCUUAGGAAUAACUCUCCCCCUAGACAAAGGACUCUUCCCUCUCCCAC
Mesocricetus auratus (golden hamster) is the source of this 1656-nucleotide long non-coding RNA. RefSeq lists it as uncharacterized. NCBI's taxonomy places the organism in Eukaryota, Metazoa, Chordata, Mammalia, Rodentia, Cricetidae. The transcript has 5 exons. The record is from RefSeq and is a predicted model, not a curated record.